UACGUAGGUCCCGAGCGUUGUCCGGAUUUAUUGGGCGUAAAGCGAGCGCAGGUGGUUUAUUAAGUCUGGUGUAAAAGGCAGUGGCUCAACCAUUGUACGCAUUGGAAACUGGUAGACUUGAGUGCAGGAGAGGAGAGUGGAAUUCCAUGUGUAGCGGUGAAAUGCGUAGGUAUAUGGAGGAACACCGGUGGCGAAAGCGGCUCUCUGGCCUGUAACUGACACUGAGGCUCGAAAGCGUGGGGAGCAAACAGG
Molecule: ribosomal RNA, 252 nt
Filed under: uncultured bacterium
Lineage: Bacteria
Description: partial 16S ribosomal RNA
Rfam family: Bacterial small subunit ribosomal RNA
Source: RNAcentral